CCUGCCCACUGUUAGAGCUUGGAUUGAGGCCACUGGCUGGCCAAUGAACUCACAAGUGUAGGUAGUGUACCACAUGAGGGGCAAGUCUUUCGCUACCACCACAAGGGUCCGUGGCCCAGUGAAUGGAGUUUAAAAAAAAUUUUUUUUUUUUCA
Molecule: small nucleolar RNA, 153 nt
Organism: Leopardus geoffroyi (Geoffroy's cat)
Lineage: Eukaryota; Metazoa; Chordata; Mammalia; Carnivora; Felidae
Source: RefSeq, a predicted model, not a curated record